UACAACGCACUACCUGUUCAUAGUAGUCGUUGCUGUCAACAGCACACUGCUCACCAUCAACGCAGGGGACUACAUCUUCUACACAGACUGGGCGUGGACAUCCUUCGUUGUGUUCUCGGUGGUCCCGGCAACAUUGAUAAAUAAACGCUGACUAUUCUUCGAUGUAUUAACAAGUGAUUAUGGUAUCUCAACCUAUUACACUCAUAUUAUGACCAUCCAAACACAUAUGGAAUAGAACUCAGCUCCUACAUCUUGAUACCCCUUCUACGCUGUCGGGUGCAAAGACGCAACACGCAUGCUGCCAUAAUGCUUGGCGGUUCGCUGGUUGGCCUAUCCUUCCCGCUGUUCAACAUGGUCAAACUGUUGCUUGUAAGGGACCCGCUCGAGGUGUGCUUCAAGUAUCCGAGACCGACUCUGCCCGCGUACAUGACGACUAUAGAGCCUCAGGUAGGGAAGUUCUACAACUCGCCUGUCGCCCUGGGUUCAGGUGCCGGUGCAGUGCUAACGGUACCCAUCGCUGCGUUGGGUGCAAAACUAAACACGUGG
This 546-nucleotide ribosomal RNA is filed under the name uncultured Nitrososphaerota archaeon. Its description in RNAcentral is "uncultured thaumarchaeote partial 16S ribosomal RNA". Lineage: Archaea; Thermoproteati; Nitrososphaerota. The record is from RNAcentral.